AGAGCACUUGGUUCGAUCACCAUGCCGUUAAUAGCAAUUGGUAGUGCAAGGGGUCGAGUGUUCGAAUCACUCCGUCCCGACCA
RNAcentral lists this transfer RNA (83 nucleotides) under Pseudomonas rhizosphaerae. RNAcentral describes it as "tRNA-Und (NNN) (tRNA-Und-NNN-3-1)". Lineage: Bacteria; Pseudomonadati; Pseudomonadota; Gammaproteobacteria; Pseudomonadales; Pseudomonadaceae. The record is from RNAcentral.